This 217-nucleotide ribosomal RNA is filed under the name uncultured fungus. RNAcentral's name for it is "partial small subunit ribosomal RNA". The stretch from base 39 to 217 matches the Rfam family "Eukaryotic small subunit ribosomal RNA", at positions 685 to 864 of the family's 1831-position model. The record is from RNAcentral. Lineage: Eukaryota; Fungi.
GGAUCAUCAGGUUGGUCGUGCCUCUGGUAUGUACUUGCUUCGAUGGUCCCUCCUUCUUGAAGAACCGUAAUGCCAUUAAUUUGUUGUUGCGGGGAAACAGGACUGUUACUUUGAAAAAAUUAGAGUGUUUAAAGCAGGCAUUUUGCUCGAAUACAUUAGCAUGGAAUAAUAAAAUAGGACGGUUGGUUCUAUUUUGUUGGUUUCUAGGAUCACCGUA